UACACAUGCAAGUCGAACGGCAGCAUGGGCUUCGGCCUGAUGGCGAGUGGCGAACGGGUGAGUAAUGCAUCGGAACGCGUCCUGUAAUGGGGGAUAACCUACCGAAAGGUAGGCUAAUACCGCAUACGUCCUGUGGGAGAAAGCGGGGGAUCGUAAGACCUCGUGUUAUAGGAGCGGCCGAUGUCGGAUUAGCUAGUUGGUGGGGUAAAGGCCUACCAAGGCGACGAUCCGUAGCUGGUCUGAGAGGACGACCAGCCACACUGGGACUGAGACACGGCCCAGACUCCUACGGGAGGCAGCAGUGGGGAAUUUUGGACAAUGGGGGCAACCCUGAUCCAGCCAUGCCGCGUGAGUGAAGAAGGCCUUCGGGUUGUAAAGCUCUUUCGGCCGGGAAGAAAUCGCGCCAGCUAAUAUCUGGUGUGGAUGACGGUACCGGAAGAAGAAGCACCGGCUAACUACGUGCCAGCAGCCGCGGUAAUACGUAGGGUGCGAGCGUUAAUCGGAAUUACUGGGCGUAAAGCGUGCGCAGGCGGUUUUGUAAGACAGGUGUGAAAUCCCCGGGCUUAAUCUGGGAACUGCGCUUGUGACUGCAAGACUUGAGUGCGGCAGAGGGGGGUGGAAU
RNAcentral lists this ribosomal RNA (622 nucleotides) under uncultured bacterium. RNAcentral describes it as "bacterial SSU rRNA". It matches the Rfam family "Bacterial small subunit ribosomal RNA", at positions 50 to 667 of the family's 1533-position model. The record is from RNAcentral.